RNAcentral lists this ribosomal RNA (480 nucleotides) under Flavobacterium sp. WB2.3-58. RNAcentral's name for it is "bacterial SSU rRNA". It matches the Rfam family "Bacterial small subunit ribosomal RNA", at positions 16 to 497 of the family's 1533-position model. The record is from RNAcentral. Lineage: Bacteria; Pseudomonadati; Bacteroidota; Flavobacteriia; Flavobacteriales; Flavobacteriaceae.
AUCCUGGCUCAGGAUGAACGCUAGCGGCAGGCUUAACACAUGCAAGUCGAGGGGUAUAGGUCUUCGGAACUAGAGACCGGCGCACGGGUGCGUAACGCGUAUGCAAUCUACCUUUUGCAGAGGGAUAGCCCAGAGAAAUUUGGAUUAAUACCUCAUAGUAUAGCAGUUUCGCAUGAAACCACUAUUAAAGUCACAACGGCAAAAGAUGAGCAUGCGUCCCAUUAGCUAGUUGGUAAGGUAACGGCUUACCAAGGCUACGAUGGGUAGGGGUCCUGAGAGGGAGAUCCCCCACACUGGUACUGAGACACGGACCAGACUCCUACGGGAGGCAGCAGUGAGGAAUAUUGGACAAUGGGCGCAAGCCUGAUCCAGCCAUGCCGCGUGCAGGAUGACGGUCCUAUGGAUUGUAAACUGCUUUUGUACAGGAAGAAACACUCCCUCGUGAGGGAGCUUGACGGUACUGUAAGAAUAAGGAUCGGC